GUGUGCCUACGGGGCGCAGCAGUGAGGAAUAUUGGUCAAUGGCCGGAAGGCUGAACCAGCCAAGUCGCGUGAGGGACGACUGCCCUAUGGGUUGUAAACCUCUUUUAUAAGGGAAGAAUAAAUGCUACGUGUAGCAUGAUGCCUGUACCUUAUGGGUAAGCAUCGGCUAACUCCGUGCCAGCAGCCGCGGUAAUACGGAGGAUGCGAGCGUUAUCCGGAUUUAUUGGGUUUAAAGGGUGCGUAGGCGGUUUUUUAAGUUAGUGGUUAAACGUCGGGGCUUCACCUUGGUUUGCCAUUAAUACUGU
This 305-nucleotide ribosomal RNA is filed under the name uncultured bacterium. Its description in RNAcentral is "bacterial SSU rRNA". It matches the Rfam family "Bacterial small subunit ribosomal RNA", at positions 333 to 636 of the family's 1533-position model. The record is from RNAcentral.